RNAcentral lists this ribosomal RNA (697 nucleotides) under fungal sp. RNAcentral describes it as "eukaryotic LSU rRNA". The stretch from base 339 to 492 matches the Rfam family "5.8S ribosomal RNA". The record is from RNAcentral. Lineage: Eukaryota; Fungi.
CGCUACUACCGAUUGAAUGGCUCAGUGAGGCUUCCGGACUGGCCUAGAGGAGUCGGCAACGACACCUCGGGGCCGGAAAGUUAUCCAAACUCGGUCAUUUAGAGGAAGUAAAAGUCGUAACAAGGUCUCCGUUGGUGAACCAGCGGAGGGAUCAUUACCGAGUUAUCACAACUCCAACCCUUUGUGAACCUUACCGUCGUUUCCUCGGCGCACUGCUGCGGGAGGCUACCCUGUAGCGGUUGCUUACCCUACAGGCCGCACCCUGCAGCGGCGCCGAAAGGACUACCAAAACUCUUUUAUCCAAGUUACCUCGAACAAUUUACUAUACAAUAGUUUAAAACUUUCAACAACGGAUCUCUUGGUUCUGGCAUCGAUGAAGAACGCAGCGAAAUGCGAUAAGUAAUGUGAAUUGCAGAAUUCAGUGAAUCAUCGAAUCUUUGAACGCACAUUGCGCCCAUUAGUAUUCUAGUGGGCAUGCCUAUUCGAGCGUCAUUUCAACCCUUAAGCCCUGUUGCUUAGCGUUGGGAAUCUGCUAGCUUCGGCGCAGUUCCUUAAAUUCAUUGGCGGAGCUGUGGCACACUCUAGGCGUAGUAGUUUAACACCUCGCCUCUAGAGUGGCCGCGGUUACUGGCCGUAAAACCCCCAUAUUUCUAGUGGUUGACCUCGGAUUAGGUAGGAAUACCCGCUGAACUUAAGC